GACGAACGCUGGCGGCGUGCUUAACACAUGCAAGUCGAACGGAAAGGCCCUGCUUUUGUGUGGUGCUCGAGUGGCGAACGGGUGAGUAACCCGUGAGUAACCUGCCCUUGACUUUGGGAUAACUUCAGGAAACUGGGGCUAAUACCUGCUAGGAGCUCCUGCUGCAUGGUGGGGGUUGGAAAGUUUCGGCGGUUGGGGAUGGACUCGCGGCUUAUCAGCUUGUUGGUGGGGUAGUGGCUUACCAAGGCUUUGACGGGUAGCCGGCCUGAGAGGGUGACCGGCCACAGUGGGACUGAGGUACGGCCAAGAGGCCUACGGGAGGCAGCAGUGGGGAAUAUUGCACAAUGGGCGGAAGCCUGAUGCAGCAACGCCGGGUGCGGGAUGACGGCCUUCGGGUUGUAAACCGCUUUCGCCUGUGACGAAGCGUGAGUGACGGUAAUGGGUAAAGAAGCACCGGCUAACUACGU
Molecule: ribosomal RNA, 467 nt
Filed under: uncultured bacterium
Lineage: Bacteria
Description: partial 16S ribosomal RNA
Rfam family: Bacterial small subunit ribosomal RNA
Source: RNAcentral